This 18-nucleotide non-coding RNA is filed under the name Arabidopsis thaliana (thale cress). Lineage: Eukaryota; Viridiplantae; Streptophyta; Magnoliopsida; Brassicales; Brassicaceae. The record is from RNAcentral.
CGGACCGGCCGACCCAUC